Molecule: ribosomal RNA, 253 nt
Filed under: uncultured bacterium
Lineage: Bacteria
Description: partial 16S ribosomal RNA
Rfam family: Bacterial small subunit ribosomal RNA
Source: RNAcentral
UACAGAGGGGGCAAGCGUUGUUCGGAAUUACUGGGCGUAAAGGGCGCGUAGGCGGCCGCCUAAGUCAGACGUGAAAUCCCUCGGCUCAACCGGGGAACUGCGUCUGAUACUGGGUGGCUUGAAUUCGGGAGAGGGAUGCGGAAUUCCAGGUGUAGCGGUGAAAUGCGUAGAUAUCUGGAGGAACACCGGUGGCGAAGGCGGCAUUCGGGACUGCACCUGACACUGAAGCACGAAAGCCAGGGGAGCAAACGGG